CCUAACUCUUGCUCCAUCUCCUCCGCCCCCAUUUUCUCCCUCCUCUCCCUUCUUCUUUGAUUUCCGCCAUUGAAAUUCUCUCUCUUCCCUUUUCCUCAUCUCUCCUGCAAUUAAUACUCCAUAGACUUGGUGAAGCUUUUUGUGUUCCACAAAAAUGGUGUCCGGUAAUCUAUUAUUCUUGUUCUUCAAUUUCCGAAGCUCGCGCAGCUCUCUCGCCUUUCCAUCUUCAUUUUCGCUCUUCUAAUGAUAUCUCACCUAAAUGACAUGUACAAGAGAUUACAAGACUGUAACCAUAGUUUGCGGCAGUAUAAUAGCAAACUUCAAACGGUGCUUUCUACAGCCAGUGAGACCUUGAAACGCGCCGAGUGAGAAAGAUGUUGUAGUCGAAAACCUCAACACCUUGAGGGGGAAAGUACAGUUCAUUGCAGGAUCAGUUUCCGUCAUCCAUGAUCAAUAAAACUUCCUCCUUUUAUGGUGGCUGGAGCUGGAAGACCUCUUAAGAGGAAUAAAGGGAAAGAUUGGACAACUGCAUUUUGAGAUAAGAUUUGACAAUAUACAUACCUAAUACCUCCACUCGCCAUGAGAUAAGAUUUGAUUCAAGUGUGUGUUGUAGUUAUACAUUUUGGAGAAUAAGUCUGUUUUCAUCAAUUUUAAGGUUAGCGUGUGAAAGACUGAAAGUGUUGCCAUAAUCAUAACUGUUUGUGUUUUGUUCCCUGUUAAUGCUAGAUGGAAGAUUCGAUGAUGAGUAUCUAUAUGAGAUAGAACGGUCGAGCCAAUUUAAGCAAGAGUAUGAAAUGAGAAAA
Long non-coding RNA from Spinacia oleracea (spinach), 803 nucleotides. RefSeq lists it as uncharacterized. The record is from RefSeq and is a predicted model, not a curated record. The transcript is spliced from 3 exons. Lineage: Eukaryota; Viridiplantae; Streptophyta; Magnoliopsida; Caryophyllales; Amaranthaceae.